UAGUAGUCAUACGCUCGUCUCAAAGAUUAAGCCAUGCAUGUGUAAGUAUAAAUAGUUAACUUUGAAACUGCGAAUGGCUCAUUAUAUCAGUUAUAGUUUAUUUGAUGAAGAAUACUAAUUGGAUAACCGUAGUAAUUCUAGAGCUAAUACAUGUAUAAAGUCUUGUAGACUGCAUUUAUUAGAAUGAAAACCAUAGGUUUCGGCCUAUUCGUGAGUAAUAAUAACUAAUCAUAUCGUAUGCUUAUGUAACGAUGUGUCUUUCAAGUUUCUGCCCUAUCAGCUUUCGAUGGUAGUGUAUUGGACUACCAUG
RNAcentral lists this ribosomal RNA (310 nucleotides) under Blastocystis sp. RNAcentral's name for it is "SSU rRNA". It matches the Rfam family "Eukaryotic small subunit ribosomal RNA", at positions 18 to 348 of the family's 1831-position model. The record is from RNAcentral. Lineage: Eukaryota; Bigyra; Opalinata; Blastocystidae.